This 349-nucleotide RNase P RNA is filed under the name uncultured Prevotella sp. RNAcentral describes it as "Bacterial RNase P class A". It matches the Rfam family "Bacterial RNase P class A". From Rfam's summary of the family: Ribonuclease P (RNase P) is a ubiquitous endoribonuclease, found in archaea, bacteria and eukarya as well as chloroplasts and mitochondria. The record is from RNAcentral. Lineage: Bacteria; Pseudomonadati; Bacteroidota; Bacteroidia; Bacteroidales; Prevotellaceae.
UUGUCGCUGGCAUCUCAGAUGCGAGAGGAAAGUCCGGGCAGCACAGGGCGUCCCACUUCUGAAAAUGGAAGCUGUUGGCGACAGCAGGUAAGGGCAGAAGAAAACAACCGCCUCUCCUUGUGGGGGGUAAGGGUGAGAAGGUGGUGUAAGAGACCACCAGCCGGUGGGUGAUCAUCGGGCUGUGUCCGCUGGGAGCUGCAAGUUCGCGUAUACCAUCGUCUGAGGGUUGCCCGCCCGACUCAUUCCGAUGGAGGGUAGAACGCUUGAGCCGCGGGGUGACUCGUGGUCUAGAUAAAUGACAGGCAUCGGAGCUUCGGCUCCGGGACAGAACCCGGCUUACAGGGGCUCU